UACGUAGGGGGCAAGCGUUGUCCGGAUUUACUGGGCGUAAAGCGUGUGCAGGCGGGGGGGCAAGGGGGGUAUGAAAUCGCCAGGCUAAACCUGGCGCGGUUAUGCCAGACUGUCUAUCUGGAGUGCGAGAGAGGGGCGUGGAAUUCCGGGUGUAGUGGUGAAAUGCGUAGAGAUCCGGAGGAACCCCAGAGGCGAAGGCGGCGCCCUGGCUCGCAACUGACGCUCAGACACGACAGCAUGGGGAGCGAACGGG
Molecule: ribosomal RNA, 253 nt
Filed under: uncultured bacterium
Lineage: Bacteria
Description: partial 16S ribosomal RNA
Rfam family: Bacterial small subunit ribosomal RNA
Source: RNAcentral